UCAUAUGUUCAUUUAAAAAAAAAAGAACACAUCUAAAAAACAAAAAAUAUUCAGAAGAACCAUUCUAGUAUUGUUCAUCUUUUCUGGGUUUCCUUACAUCUCUCUCAAAGAGCGUCUCUCUCUCAAUUGUCAGACUGAAACUCUAUUCUUUCUAAAUUGGUUUUGCUGUCGCCGACUCGCCGUCACAGGUGCGGGCAACCGGUUUUCCUUCUUGCUUCUGGGUCAGUGGAUCAAGGAUCUGAAAGCCGAGCUUGCUUUGCUCUGUGUUGCCAAGGUCACUGGUCUUUUCUCUGUUUACUUUGAUGGGUUGCUUUCUUUUUGAAUUGAUUUUGGUGGUUCAUGGAUUCUAACCUAUUUCUUAUUCUGUGAAAAGGAAUUUUUGUUUUUGGGUCGGUUGAGUGUGCAUGUGGUGUUUUGCUCUGUUUAAUCUUUGUCUGAAGGUGAAUCUUGGGUGCUGCUAUUCUUCGAUUGCUUCUAUGUACUCUUUUUCUCUUCAUGUUAUUUGGUGUAAUACUUUGGAUGACUCUUUGGGUUGUUUUGUUGUUUCUAAAGUUUUAGUUUUUAUUGGAAUUUACAUGCCAAUUAGAGUAAUGACAGAUCAGAUUUCAAAAACUAGCAAUGACGUAUCAGAGUUCAAAUGUACUGUGUUUUUGGUUAAAAAGUGAUUUUAAAACUGAAUUUUUGGUUUAAAAUAGGGCUUGUUUGGGUGUAAGAGAAAAUGGAGAAGCAGGGCACUUGCUUAUACUCAUCAGCAUGAAGAUGGGUUUGAGGUGGUUGUUAUUGGUCAAAGCUGAUGUAAGAAUCCAUUAAUGCUGGAAGAGAUAAAGAUCCUGUGUCAUCAUAGCAGCUUCCCAUGCUAUUAGUGUUUGGACUAGUUGAUGGAGUACUCCCACUUGCUUGAUAAAGCAGAUGAGUGUGAGGAUCUAUACAUGCGGCUUGUGUAUGCAUAUGAUCUCAGAAAGGAAGGUAAGGUCGUUAGAGUCGGUUCGUUCGUUUCAUGGGAACUUUUCAACGAGCAAUCGGAAGCAUACAAGGAGAGUGUUCUCCCUGCUGCUGUUUCAGCUAUGUUUAGCAUUGAGCAUGGAUCAAGAUUUGGGUAGGAGAGAAUCAUUGGAAGCAAUAGGCAUUGAUCGAUUCGGAGCUAGCGCUCCAGCAGGAAAAAUAUACAAAGAGUUUGGCAUCACAAAGGAAGCUGUUAAUGCUGCAGCAAAAUCACUUAUCUAAGAUGUAUUAGUUUCUUUAUUUUUGUUUCUCCCUUGGUUUGAGUUGAUGAUUACAUUUAGAGGGAAAUUUGCAUGAGGCAUGUUUAAAGGGCAUUCCUUUACUUGAAUAAGGAAUAGGUUAGGUUACAGUUGCUUGUGAUUCUCAUUUGAGUUUCUUAGAUCAAAGCAGGAGAUGGAAGUUUUCUGAACUUGUAAGAACACUUUGAACAGUUGAGUUAUGCAUUUACCACACUGU
This is a non-coding RNA of Arachis ipaensis, 1458 nucleotides long. The record is from RefSeq and is a predicted model, not a curated record. NCBI's taxonomy places the organism in Eukaryota, Viridiplantae, Streptophyta, Magnoliopsida, Fabales, Fabaceae.